Molecule: ribosomal RNA, 468 nt
Filed under: uncultured bacterium
Lineage: Bacteria
Description: partial 16S ribosomal RNA
Rfam family: Bacterial small subunit ribosomal RNA
Source: RNAcentral
GACGAACGCUGGCGGCGUGCUUAACACAUGCAAGUCGAACGGAAAGGCCCUGCUUUUGUGGGGUGCUCGAGUGGCGAACGGGUGAGUAACACGUGAGUAACCUGCCCUUGACUUUGGGAUAACUUCAGGAAACUGGGGCUAAUACCGGAUAGGAGCUCCUGCUGCAUGGUGGGGGUUGGAAAGUUUCGGCGGUUGGGGAUGGACUCGCGGCUUAUCAGCUUGUUGGUGGGGUAGUGGCUUACCAAGGCUUUGACGGGUAGCCGGCCUGAGAGGGUGACCGGCCACAUUGGGACUGAGAUACGGCCCAGACUCAUACGGGAGGCAGCAGUGGGGAAUAGUGCACAAUGGGCGGAAGCCUGGUGCAGCAACGCCGCGUGCGGGAUGACGGCCUUCGGGUUGUAAACCGCUUUCGCCUGUGACGAAGCGUGAGUGACGGUAAUGGGUAAAGAAGCACCGGCUAACUACGUG